This 253-nucleotide ribosomal RNA is filed under the name uncultured bacterium. RNAcentral's name for it is "partial 16S ribosomal RNA". It matches the Rfam family "Bacterial small subunit ribosomal RNA", at positions 524 to 776 of the family's 1533-position model. The record is from RNAcentral.
UACGUAGGGUGCAAGCGUUGUCCGGAAUUAUUGGGCGUAAAGAGCUCGUAGGCGGUUUGUCGCGUCUGCUGUGAAAACCCGAGGCUCAACCUCGGGCCUGCAGUGGGUACGGGCAGACUAGAGUGCGGUAGGGGAGAUUGGAAUUCCUGGUGUAGCGGUGGAAUGCGCAGAUAUCAGGAGGAACACCAAGGGCGAAGGCAGAUCUCUGGGCCGUAACUGACGCUGAGGAGCGAAAGCAUGGGGAGCGAACAGG